AAGACCUUGCGCUUUUGGAGCGGCCGAUGCCUGAUUAGCUUGUUGGUAAGGUAAAAGCUUACCAAGGCUUCGAUCAGUAGCUGGUCUGGGAGGACGACCAGCCACACUGGGACUGAGACACGGCCCAGACUCCUACGGGAGGCAGCAGUGGGGAAUUUUGGACAAUGGGGGCAACCCUGAUCCAGCCAUGCCGCGUGAGUGAAGAAGGCCUUCGGGUUGUAAAGCUCUUUCAGCCGGAACGAAACGGUUACGGAUAACACCCGUGACUACUGACGGUACCGGAAGAAGAAGCACCGGCUAACUACGUGCCAGCAGCCGCGGUAAUACGUAGGGUGCGAGCGUUAAUCGGAAUUACUGGGCGUAAAGCGUGCGCAGGUGGUUUUGUAAGUCAGAUGUGAAAGCCCCGGGCUCAACCUGGGAACU
RNAcentral lists this ribosomal RNA (423 nucleotides) under uncultured bacterium. RNAcentral describes it as "bacterial SSU rRNA". It matches the Rfam family "Bacterial small subunit ribosomal RNA", at positions 207 to 622 of the family's 1533-position model. The record is from RNAcentral.